This 530-nucleotide ribosomal RNA is filed under the name uncultured bacterium. RNAcentral describes it as "bacterial SSU rRNA". It matches the Rfam family "Bacterial small subunit ribosomal RNA", at positions 28 to 526 of the family's 1533-position model. The record is from RNAcentral.
GACGAACGCUGGCGGCGUGCCUAAUACAUGCAAGUCGAACGAGAAAUUCUUACACCGGAUGCUUGCAUCCACCGUAAGAUUUCGAGUGGCGGACGGGUGAGUAACACGUGGGUAACCUGCCCAAAAGAAGGGGAUAACAUUUGGAAACAAGUGCUAAUACCGUAUAACCAUGAUGACCGCAUGGUCAUGAUGUAAAAGGUGGUUUUGCUAUCGCUUUUGGAUGGACCCGCGGCGUAUUAACUAGUUGGUAAGGUAACGGCUUACCAAGGUGAUGAUACGUAGCCGAACUGAGAGGUUGAUCGGCCACAAUGGGACUGAGACACGGCCCAUACUCCUACGGGAGGCAGCAGUAGGGAAUCUUCCACAAUGGGCGCAAGCCUGAUGGAGCAACGCCGCGUGAAUGAUGAAGGCUUUCGGGUCGUAAAACUCUGUUGUUAGGGAAGAACAAGUGCUAGUUGAAUAAGCUGGCACCUUGACGGUACCUAACCAGAAAGCCACGGCUAACUACGUGCCAGCCGCCGCCGUAACAC